CAAUCUUAACAAGAAGACAAGAAAAAACAAAAAAAAAUCAAAGAGAAAAUUGGGAGAAACUAGAAGAAGAAAUAAAAAGACAAAAAUGGGGAAGAGGUGGGAGAUAGAAAGAAACAGUUGUUAGGUGGUGUUGAAAACGUGUGAAGUCUUCUUUGGCUAUAAGGGCACAACUGUCCACUUUGCUGCGACACACGUCUUCUCUUCUCUCUCUGACCAAAAUAAUCACAUGUCAUGCGGAUUAGAUUCUUCUUCUUCGUAUCGUACGUACUACAUGAUCAGUUGAAGUUCCGACGUUAGCUGAUAUUACCUAAACACCCUCCUUCAUCACCGCCCCCAACUUGUGUGAUGUGUGAACCAGAGAAGACUUUUUCUUUUUUAAGAUGCAAAAAUCAGUUACUCUUUUCUUCAUUUUUCUGUAUACUAUUCUUAAUAUCAUUCCAUUUUCGUAUAAAUUUAGAAAAUCUGAUAUUAAUAUCAUCC
This 480-nucleotide small RNA is filed under the name Arabidopsis thaliana (thale cress). RNAcentral describes it as "putative long intergenic non-coding RNA". Lineage: Eukaryota; Viridiplantae; Streptophyta; Magnoliopsida; Brassicales; Brassicaceae. The record is from RNAcentral.